AACAUACUCCCUUCGUCCGGAAAUACUUUUCCUAAAAAUGGAUAUAAUAAAUGUAUCUAUAACUAAAAUAAGUCUAGAUUCAUCCAUUUUUAGGACAAAUAUUUUUGGACGGAGGGAGUAUAUU
Hordeum vulgare subsp. vulgare (domesticated barley) is the source of this 124-nucleotide non-coding RNA. Lineage: Eukaryota; Viridiplantae; Streptophyta; Magnoliopsida; Poales; Poaceae. The record is from Rfam.